CACAUUUAGCUGGCAAUAAGAGGCUUUGCAUCAAUAUCUUCAUAUAUUCUUUCGCCAUCAUGUUACAUAUGUACAUGAUUUCUCUGCCAAUUGGUUCCUAUUGUUUCACUAGGUUCUCAAAAGUCAUGUUGUUUUGUUCUCCCAAAAUGGCCAGUACAUACUCCGCAUAUAUCAUCCUUAACAUUCUAGCCUGUUUGGAUCUUUUUUUGUUUCUCUAAAAAAGCCACUGUUGAUGUUGAUUCCAUGAACUAGUAGGAUGGGCAGGGAUCUCCAUCCACUUCAUCAAAUAUGCUCAUAAUCGCAUGGCAAAGCUACAUUCAAAAAAGAGAUGGUCUCUUGAUUCUGCAAAAUUACCACACAUCACACCAUGUUGGGUGCACCGCCAUAUCCCAACUGAUUAAACGAUAAACAAUUAGAAGUCUA
Molecule: long non-coding RNA, 423 nt
Filed under: Capsicum annuum
Lineage: Eukaryota; Viridiplantae; Streptophyta; Magnoliopsida; Solanales; Solanaceae
Description: long non-coding RNA (CANN_LNC012726)
Source: RNAcentral